Long non-coding RNA from Micropterus salmoides (largemouth bass), 969 nucleotides. RefSeq lists it as uncharacterized. The transcript is spliced from 2 exons. The record is from RefSeq and is a predicted model, not a curated record. Lineage: Eukaryota; Metazoa; Chordata; Actinopteri; Centrarchiformes; Centrarchidae.
UCCAUCCAUGGGGAGUCAGGGUGCCCUCAAAAACAUUGCCAAUGAGGGCUCCAAUGCCGCAGGCUGAUAUGGGUGAAACUUCAGAUGGCAGAUGGCACAGGGACGGGAAAAGACCAUAUCUUUAAGAUGUGCAUCUGAAUUACCUCUGCCAGUCAACAGCAAGAAGUGAUGGGGCAGUUUUUAAUACCACUAGGCCCAUCUGGGAGAAGAACCCUUUUCAUUCGACAUACUUGGCUGCUUGUCGCCUCACCAUAAUGGGCACGUUGAACGAGCUCUGAAGCAAUAGCCAAUUAAAUGCCUUGAAGGGGAUGCCUCGAGGCCCUGCAUGAAAGGCUUCAGGUGUGAAAUGCUUGUUUUUCAAGAGUGCUGCAAAUGUUGGCUGCUUUCAAGUUUGCUAUUGCCCUGCUGGCUUCCCCUUCCAGCCCACCCCAACAGCCCUUCUCAUGUGGAGGAGGGUAGAGGGUAGAGGUGAUGGGCAAGAGAAGACCACUUAAGUACAAUUUUCUAUUCAGCGUUCCAAACCUGUGCACUCUCGUGUUUUUCACCGCUGCCUCGUAACAGAGAACAGAGUUUCAGAUGAUGCAGACAAUAGCUUUUUAGCACACAAUGGAGAGAAGAGGAGAAGCUGAAGGGCAGACAGGGGGAAAUAUGGACGAGACAGAAAGUCUGAGCGUGAAUCUAAACCAGAGGCAGUGGUGGUUGGGUGAUGGCGGGGUUGGCUGGGAGGGGGCUUAAAAGGAGAUGGAUUGUUUGCUAAUUGUGGUCAUUUCUGACCAGAACAUGACAGGUUCAAUGACUACUUUAAUGCGUUAUUGAAUACAACAGAAACUUGAAAUGCAAUUGUGAGAGAAGCUUCUGUUUUCGAAAUUUGUUUUCAGCCCCUCCACAGGAGGGAAGAAUGAUCAUUCAUAAUUCGAGUGUAAGAACAGGCUGCCUUGUCUCUGUGCAAUAAAUGGUUGUUAGCACUAA